This 428-nucleotide ribosomal RNA is filed under the name uncultured Acidobacterium sp. RNAcentral describes it as "bacterial SSU rRNA". It matches the Rfam family "Bacterial small subunit ribosomal RNA", at positions 958 to 1385 of the family's 1533-position model. The record is from RNAcentral. Lineage: Bacteria; Pseudomonadati; Acidobacteriota; Terriglobia; Terriglobales; Acidobacteriaceae.
AACGCGAAGAACCUUACCUGGGCUCGAACGGCUAGUCAACGAUCGUGGAAACACGGUUACUCCGCAAGGGGGUCUAGUCGAGGUGCUGCAUGGCUGUCGUCAGCUCGUGUCGUGAGAUGUUGGGUUAAGUCCCGCAACGAGCGCAACCCUUGUCCUGUGUUGCCAUGCCGAAAGGCGGAACUCGCAGGAGACCGCCAGCGAUAAGCUGGAGGAAGGUGGGGAUGACGUCAAGUCCUCAUGGCCUUUAUGUCCAGGGCUACACACGUGCUACAAUGGCCGGUACAAUGCGCCGCUAAGUCGCAAGACGGAGCCAAUCGCAAAAAACCGGUCUCAGUUCGGAUUGCAGGCUGCAACUCGCCUGCAUGAAGCUGGAAUCGCUAGUAAUGGCAGAUCAGAACGCUGCCGUGAAUACGUUCCCGGGCCUUGUA